GAUGAACGCUAGCGGCAGGCCUAACACAUGCAAGUCAGGGGGUAACAUAGAAAAGCUUGCUUUUCUGAUGACGACCGGCGCACGGGUGCGUAACGCGUAUACAACCUACCUUUUAGCGGGGAAUAGCCCAGGGAAACUUGGAUUAAUGCCCCAUAGUAUAUGGACUUCUCCUGAAGUUUAUAUUUAAACAUUUAUGGCUAUUAGAUGGGUAUGCGUCCUAUUAGUUAGUUGGUAAGGUAACGGCUUACCAAGGCAGCGAUAGGUAGGGGUCCUGAGAGGGAGAUCCCCACACUGGUACUGAGACACGGACCAGACUCCUACGGGAGGCAGCAGUGAGGAAUAUUGGACAAUGGGCGAGAGCCUGAUCCAGCCAUGCCGCGUGCAGGAAGACUGCCCUAUGGGUUGUAAACUGCUUUUACAGAGGAAGAACCACCCCCACGUGUGGGGGUUUGACGGUACUCUGCGAAUAAGGAUCGGCUAACUCCGUG
RNAcentral lists this ribosomal RNA (488 nucleotides) under uncultured bacterium. RNAcentral describes it as "bacterial SSU rRNA". It matches the Rfam family "Bacterial small subunit ribosomal RNA", at positions 28 to 507 of the family's 1533-position model. The record is from RNAcentral.